Molecule: non-coding RNA, 2484 nt
Organism: Macaca mulatta (Rhesus monkey)
Lineage: Eukaryota; Metazoa; Chordata; Mammalia; Primates; Cercopithecidae
Source: RefSeq, a predicted model, not a curated record
AGUAGAGACGGGGUUUCACCAUGUUGGUCAGGGUUGUCUUGAACUCCUGACCUCAGGUAAUCCGCCUGCCUCGGCCUUCCAAAGUGUUGGGAUUAGCUGCUGCCGUUUUAGACAACGGUUGAUGAAGGGUUCGAAGGCCUACACAAUAGAGCUUUUGUUCUGUUUUGAGUGGUCCUGAACAGUUCUUUUGGGCAGGGGAAUUUGUCUGUGUGUGAAUGUGCAAACAUAUAUAUAAUCUGAGUGGCUGCCUGGCCUUGUCCUAGGUUUUGUCCCGUAUAUAUUCCGCCUUUUUUUUUUCUUUUUCUUUCUGCAUGUAUGUAUAUUUUCUCAAGGCGUCUGCCCUGCACUAGACUUUGGCUUGCCUUUCCAGGCCAGCUUUGACAGUUUUCCCUCUGGGUAACCAAGCGGGCUGCAGCCAGCAGAUGGCACUGCAGCAGAAAGGGGCAGAGUCCCUUUAGGCCCUUGACAAGCAGGGCGGAUUAGUAACCUUAUACUUUAACCCUCUAGUUAGCCUUGGAGGACUCGGUGUCGCACUUCCUCCCGGACUCUCAUAAAGCGGGCCGAGUUGUGUGCAAUUAAGGAUUUCAGGAUGCAAAUCUGAAUCUGUAGUUUUGUCUCCUCCACCCCACCCCCAUUAUUAGAUUGGCAAUGUCUUUUGUCACGUUGUCAAAAUGUUCUCAGAGGAGCGGUGGCUGAUUUCUGGUUAAAGUGGCUGAGGUGAUCCCAGCAUUAAUUAAAUGCAGGAGAAUCGAGAUUCUCCUUAUAGUUUAAGGAAAAGAAAAAUUCACACAAGCAAACCGGCAACCAUUUGAAUGUUUUCCGACGACGUGGUGCUUUAGGAUCUGAAAGAUGCGACUUGUUUUGUUUGUUUGUUUUUGAGACGGAAUUUCCGCUCUUGUUGCCCGGGCUGGAGUGCAAUGGCGCGAUCUCGGCUCACCGCAACCUCCGCCUCCCAGGUUCAAGCGAUUCUCCUGCCUCAGCCUCCCGAGCAGCUGAGAUUACAGGCAUGCGCCACCGCGCCCGGCUACUUUUGUAUGUUUAGUAGAGACGGGGUUUCUCCUUGUUGGUCAGGUUGGUCUCGAACUCCGACUUCACGUGAUCCGCCUGCUCGACCUCCCAAAGUGCUGGGAUUACAGACGUGAGCCACCGUGCCCGGCCACGACUUGUUUUUGUUAAAGGUUCCUCAUUUCAUUUGGAACGUUCAGACGCAGUCUAACUACAUUUCCAUCCGGAGUAAGGAAGAGCCGCUCAAGGGCAGUCACCGAGGCCGCAGGUGCGGCUUCUUCACCCGCGGUGCUGGAGUUCUCUCAAGUGGAAGCCCACGACGAUGACAACCUUAUAGGUGGGCUGCUGCUUACACACAACAGCCACCACGGCGCAAAAUAAACUACAAAACUAUAAGCCUUUACCUUUUCAAACACACCGACGCGGGCCAGCCCCAGCACUACGCCCGCCCUCAGGGGCACGCAGCAAAGAUUUCCUUAUCAUGGCCAAGUAGGAAGCCUCCGGGAUAGCGUUCUUCUUAACCUACGUAAACACGCUGUUUGCCGAGCUCGACAAUCGGCUAGCCACUCCUGAUAGCGUUCGGCGCUCGCCUCUCGGCCCUUGCUCCUGCGUACUCGGCUUCUUCCAGUCGCCUGGGCCCGAAUCGGGAAGUGUCAAGCGGAUGCCUAGUUCCUCCACCUCCGCGGCUAUCACCACUGAACCCGGACCGCCUACCCAGGUCCAGGGCCAGCCGCCAUGACGAACGGCGAGAACCGAUGCCCUGAGCGGAGGUGUACUCCUUGGAUGGGAUUCUGGUGUUUGGUUUGCUCUUUGUUUGCACCUGUGCCUACUUCAAGAAAGUACCUCGUCUCAAAACCUGGCUGCUAUCAGAGAAGAAGGGUGUUUGGGGUGUGUUUUACAAAGGUGAGGCCAUGUCUGGACAGGGAGAAGAGACUGCCAUCUCUGGACAGUGUGGAGCUACAAAGUAGGGAGUACAGUGAGCUGGGACUGUAUUUGGUUUCAUUUUUAGAAAACAACCCCUCAGAUUGGGUCUGAGAGCCUGUAAAAUCAAUCAUUCUCCAAAGUUGAGGGAAGAGAUAAAUGUUAAAAUUUGCUGGGUGUGGUGGCUCAUGCCUAUAAUCCCAGCACUUUGGGGGGGCCAAGGCAGGAGGAUUGCUUGUGUCCAGGAGUUGUAGAUCAGCGUGGGCAACAUAGUGAGACCCCAUUUCUAGAAAAUAUACAAAAAUUAGCCAGGUAUGGUGGCACGUGCCUGUAGUCCCAGCUACUCAGGAGACCGAGGUGGGAGGAUUGCUUGAGCCUAGGAGGUUGAGGCUGCAGUGAGCCAUGGUGGAGCCACUGCACUCCAGCCCAGGUGACAAGGUGAGACCCUGUCUUAAAAAAAAAAAAAAAAUUAAAUGUUACUUUAAAACAUAAUUGUCUAUUUUAGCAUCCAGAUGAUUUUUGUAUUCUCCGUGGAAUAAAAGUAUACACAUCAAACCA